This is a long non-coding RNA of Electrophorus electricus (electric eel), 303 nucleotides long. RefSeq lists it as uncharacterized. The record is from RefSeq and is a predicted model, not a curated record. NCBI's taxonomy places the organism in Eukaryota, Metazoa, Chordata, Actinopteri, Gymnotiformes, Gymnotidae.
AAACCACUGGGAUACAACAACAACAUGUCAUCUGUGUUAUUGUACUUGUCAUGUAUAAUGAGGGGGAUAGAGUUGGAUCCAGCCAAGACCGCAAAGGCCAUGGUUGAGACCAAAUAUCAACAAGAGAAAGAGAAGACCAAAGUUGAGGUCCAGAAAGUUCCUGCAGAAACAAACUGUGGUGUGAUUUUGAUGCCACAUUCAUGGAGGCCAGAAGAACACACAAUGUCACUGCUGAUGCCACAGUUGAAGUGCAGACCUGGCAGAACUGAAGAAAAGCAGAACACAGGGUCCCCUCCAGUACUG